GUUUGUGACGGACAGUAAAAUAUGGGCCAAACUUUUAGCUUGUGGAUGACGUUCUGGACUUCACAUCCUGUGCAAACCGCCCAGGGAAGCCGUCAGCUACCGAUCUCAAACUGGGUCUGGCGUUCUGUUUGCUUGCCAACAGCCAUAAACUUAAUUGUAAACCAGUUUCCUGAGCUGCAUGCAAUGAUAAUGAUGAGGCCCUUCAGCUCUGAUGGAGAUGUGGAUCGGGCCUGGCAAUAUGUCCUGAAGGUGACAUGUUACAGGUGAAUCUCAUGAAACCAUGUCCUGGGGCUGCUUUCAUAGAACACCAAGACUAGUCUUACAAGCGUGUCAUUCAUUUUUUUUUUCUUUAAGACUUUUCAUACAAGUCUGUUACAUAAAACGUAGACUUGUCUACUUUGAUACCAAAAAGUAAGUCUCAAUUUGCCCUAACUAACUGAUAGUUGGUUUACUAGUUCUUAAAGGGGUGGUAAAAUGCCAUUUUCACAAGAUGUAAAAUAAA
Molecule: non-coding RNA, 502 nt
Organism: Pimephales promelas (fathead minnow)
Lineage: Eukaryota; Metazoa; Chordata; Actinopteri; Cypriniformes; Leuciscidae
Source: RefSeq, a predicted model, not a curated record